GUGAUUUUUCUCUUCCUGGAGCUUAUUUGCGGUCAAAAGGAUUGAAUCGAAUUGGAAACUUGUUGGUGCCUAAUGACAAUUAUUGCAAAUUUGAGAAUUGGAUCAAUCCAAUUUUUGACAAGAUGCUAGAAGAACAGGCUACAGAGAACAUCAUUUGGGCGCCGUCAAAGGUAAUUGCCCGCCUGGGAAAAGAAAUAAAUGAUGGAAGUUCUUACUUAU
RNAcentral lists this unclassified non-coding RNA (219 nucleotides) under Hevea brasiliensis (rubber tree). Lineage: Eukaryota; Viridiplantae; Streptophyta; Magnoliopsida; Malpighiales; Euphorbiaceae. The record is from RNAcentral.